This is a long non-coding RNA of Brassica napus (rape), 452 nucleotides long. RefSeq lists it as uncharacterized. The record is from RefSeq and is a predicted model, not a curated record. NCBI's taxonomy places the organism in Eukaryota, Viridiplantae, Streptophyta, Magnoliopsida, Brassicales, Brassicaceae. The transcript is spliced from 2 exons.
CAGAGAGCUUUAGUGGAAGAAAGGUUGGAGAUCUGUAUUCUGACAGUAUCGGUCUUCUUCUUCUUCAGUGUUUUUUUUUGUAGGCGUUGAUAAGACAUCAAUAUAAUUGGAGAAGAAGAAAGGAGGAGGAAUAAUGGUUUGAGUUUGGUUUUGUUGUCUGAUUAUAGUGUGUUUGAGUUUGGUUUUGUUGUCUGAUUAAAAAGUGUUUUUGUGUCUUGGUAUGUUGCAUAUUUAUAGAGAAGCUAUCGCGGUACCGUAACGGCUAUAUUUCUCUCAAGUUUUGAGUCUGUUUCGAUCGCCACAAAACGCGUGCACUCUCUCCUAACGUUCUAGACAAUUUGCGGGGUUGAACAUGAAGCAAACACAUUAUGUAAUAAUAAUGCAGCAUACUCGGUUAUGUGGAGUUUCAAAUGUAUACAUUUCACGUAAAAGUAAACAGCUUCUUUAAUUCU